RNAcentral lists this ribosomal RNA (548 nucleotides) under Lampanyctus macdonaldi (rakery beaconlamp). RNAcentral's name for it is "partial 16S ribosomal RNA". It matches the Rfam family "Bacterial large subunit ribosomal RNA", at positions 1851 to 2596 of the family's 2925-position model. Lineage: Eukaryota; Metazoa; Chordata; Actinopteri; Myctophiformes; Myctophidae. The record is from RNAcentral.
GGUCCCGCCUGCCCUGUGACUAUAUGUUUAACGGCCGCGGUAUUUUGACCGUGCGAAGGUAGCGCAAUCACUUGUCUUUUAAAUGGAGACCUGUAUGAAAGGCAUCACGAGGGCUUAGCUGUCUCCCCUUUAAAGUCAAUGAAAUUGAUCUCCCCGUGCAGAAGCGGGGAUAUGCUCGUAAGACGAGAAGACCCUAUGGAGCUUAAGAUAAAAGGCGAGUCAUGUCAAACACCCCCUCAAAGGAAGUUGAACGAAAUGAUACCCGCUGGAAUGUCUUCGGUUGGGGCGACCGCGGGGAAAGACAAAACCCCCACAUGGACCAGGGCCACUAUAGCCCUAAAACCUAGACCCACAGGUCAAGUCAACAGUAAAUCUGACUACCAAAGAGCCGGCAAUGCCGAUCAACGGACCGAGUUACCCUAGGGAUAACAGCGCAAUCCCCUCCCAGAGCCCUUAUCGACGAGGGGGUUUACGACCUCGAUGUUGGAUCAGGACAUCCUAAUGGUGCAGCCGCUAUUAAGGGUUCGUUUGUUCAACGAUUAAAGUCC